Molecule: long non-coding RNA, 549 nt
Filed under: Apteryx owenii (little spotted kiwi)
Lineage: Eukaryota; Metazoa; Chordata; Aves; Apterygiformes; Apterygidae
Description: lncRNA (ENSAOWG00000010768.1)
Source: RNAcentral
CCUGCCGCGCCCCAACGGCUGCCGCGCACCGCGCAUGCGUGGGGCUGCCCGCCCCCCCCCGCUGGGGCACCAUGGGAGCGCCCGGGGCAUCAUGGGAGCAUCCAGAGCAUCAUGGGAGCGCCCGGGGCAUCAUGGGAGUGCCUGGAGCAUCAUGGGAGUACCCAGGGCAUCAUGGGAGUGACAUGGGGCCUCAUGGGAGCACCCAGGGCAUCAUGGGAGUGAGGUGAUGCCGCGCGGAUGGAGGCCCCCUGCGGGGACCAGGCUGAGCCGAUGACCCCCGACCCCAGGGCGCCCGGACGCCUGGACCCCCCCGCGGCCACGCCCCCAGGCGGCCCCCGGACCCCCGGCCCCGGGCUCAAGCGCCGCCCCGACGCCUGUGACUGGUCAGUACAGAGCAGGGCAUGCUGGGAGCGCCCUGGGGCAUGCUGGGAGCCAGGUGCCAUGCCCCAGGGCAUGCUGGGAGCAGGGCGCGGUGGCCCAGGGCAUGCUGGGAUGGGGGGGGCAGUGCCCCAGGGCAUGCUGGGAUCAGGGGGCUGCCCUGGAGCAUGC